GGGAAUAGGGCCCUGGUCUAAAGUAGUGUCCUAUAUAUAGGGAAUAGGGCCCUGGUCUAUAUAGGGAAUAGGGCCCUGGUCUAAAGUAGUGUUCUCUAUAUAGGGAAUAGGGCUCUGGUCUAUAUAGGGAAUAGGGCCCUGGUCUAAAGUAGUGUCCUCUAUAUAGGGAAUAGGGCCCUGGUCUAUAUAGGGAAUAGGGCCCUGGUCUAAAGUAGGAAUAGGGCCCUGGUCUAAAGUAGUGUCCUAUAUAGGGAAUAGGGCCCUGGUCUAUAUAGGGAAUAGGGCCCUGGUCUAAAGUAGUGUCCUCUAUAUAGGGAAUAGGGCCCUGGUCUAUAUAGGGAAUAGGGCCCUGGUCUAUAUAGGGAAUAGGGCACUGGUCUAAAGUAUAGUGCACUAUAUAGGGAAUAGGGCCCUGGUCUAAAGUAGUGUCCUAUAUAGGGAAUAGGGCCCUGGUCUAAAGUAGUGUCCUAUAUAGGAAUAGGGCCCUGGUCUAUAUAGGGAAUAGGGCCCUGGUCUAAAGUAGUGUUCUCUAUAUAGGGAAUAGGGCCCUGGUCUAUAUAGAGAAUAGGGCCCUGGUCUAAAGUAGUGUUCUCUAUAUAGGGAAUAGGGC
This 610-nucleotide long non-coding RNA is filed under the name Salmo salar (Atlantic salmon). RNAcentral's name for it is "lncRNA (ENSSSAG00000103023.1)". The record is from RNAcentral. Lineage: Eukaryota; Metazoa; Chordata; Actinopteri; Salmoniformes; Salmonidae.